UUUUUAUAUUAUAUUAUUAUUAAUAUAUUAUAUUAUAUUAUAUUAUUAUAUUAUUAUAUAUAUAUGACAAAGAAAGAAAGAAAAGAAACAGAGAGCAAAACAAAACAGAGAAGGGAGAAAGAAAGAAACAGAGAGCAAAACGAAACAGAGAAGGAAGAAAGAAAAGAAAAGAAAAAGGGAAAUUUGGGGUUUUAAGGUUCAAAGUAAUUUGAUCAAGAAGUACGAAACUCGAGGUUAGACAAAGGGAAGAAUAAAGUUGAAGACUAAGUUGGUGAAUUUGGCUAUAAUUGGUACCGAGGUAAGUUUACGGUAAAUAAAUGCAAUAUUUCAAUAUUUAUUAUUAAUGCUGUUAAUUUCCAGCAAUUAUGAAUUUAUUUUAUGAAUUUAUUUGAUGAUGAUCCAAGCAUGAAAUGAUAGAGAAUUAAAAUUUAAAAGUCCCGUUGAUACAUAAGGAUGGUACUGGAUACGAAUGUCAUGACAUUUGGGUAAAGAGAUCCCAUGUAAGACCAUGUCUGGGACAUGGCAUUGGCAUCCUUAAGAUCAUGAGAGGUCCCCUGUAAGACCAUGUCUGGGACAUGGCAUGGGCACCGAGACGAGAGGUCCCAUGUAAGACCAUGUCUGGGACAUGGCGUUGGCACCGAGAUGAGAGGUCCCCUAUAAGACCAUGUCUGGGACAUGGCAUGGGCACCAUCACGAGAACAUCCCAUGUAAGACCAUGUCUGGGACAUGGCUUUGGCAUGUUAUUAUCAGAAGAGACCCGAGUAUCCUUAUUAUUCCAAUGUAGUUCAACGGGCUUGUAAACGAAUCAUGUUCAUGAAAGUUCAGUUUAAAGCAUAAAUGGUAAGCUCAGGUAAGUUGUAAGACUUAAGAACUUAUUAUACUAUCAAUUGAUGUUCAACGAUGCAGCAAGGAUUGAGUAAGUUAUGCACACAAAUAUUCUAAGUAAACAAGUAAGAGAACUAGUAUGAGAUUAACUAAAAAGUAAACUAGAGAUAUAGACAUUGAGUUUAAUUAUUUAAGUUAAAUAUUGUUAUUUAUUUGCUAGUAAACUUACUAAGCUUUAUGCUUACUUCUUUUAUUUCUCUUUCUCUUAUAGUAUUGCAAAGCUACUUCAAGGAUCCUAAAGAAGUCGGAGAUCGUCCACACUAUCAACUACAACUGCUCGGUAUUUUAUAUCGAAACACGUUUAAGUUAUGGCAUGUAUAGGGAUUUAGUUAUUUUGUAUGUUUGUAGUGAUGAUUUUGCUAAUGAGUGAUGUGUAAGUAUUUGAUGAUGUAUGGUUAUUAAAAUGAUUAAGGAUGAAGGUGUUUGUUGUUAUGAAAGAUUAGGUGAUAAAUUAUGCAUGGAAAUCAUGAAAGGAUAAAAUUUUGCAAAGAAACAGAAUUCAGGCAGCACAGUGACGUGAAUUUGAAAAAUCACCCAAGAUAGUAUAAAAUGAAUUAGAGGGUGAAUGAUAUAUGGAAUUAAAGCUUGUUGAGUCUAUUUUCAUGAAA
RNAcentral lists this long non-coding RNA (1493 nucleotides) under Gossypium barbadense (sea-island cotton). RNAcentral describes it as "long non-coding RNA (GBAR_LNC019417)". The record is from RNAcentral. Lineage: Eukaryota; Viridiplantae; Streptophyta; Magnoliopsida; Malvales; Malvaceae.